ACAACAGCUGCACACAGACAAUCCACUGUAUACAACAGUGUGGAUUAUCUGACUCAUUUUGCAACACUUCUACAUUUGGCCACAAAGUGUAG
Etheostoma spectabile (orangethroat darter) is the source of this 92-nucleotide long non-coding RNA. RefSeq lists it as uncharacterized. The record is from RefSeq and is a predicted model, not a curated record. NCBI's taxonomy places the organism in Eukaryota, Metazoa, Chordata, Actinopteri, Perciformes, Percidae. The transcript has 3 exons.